ACGCUGGCGGCACGCCUAACACAUGCAAGUCGAACGAAGUAGCAAUACUUAGUGGCAGACGGGUGAGUAACAUGUAGGUAUCUGCCCUUUGGCCUGGAAUAACACGAGGAAACUUGUGCUAAUACCGGAUAAGUCUUUACAGAGAAAGCUUUAUGCACCAUUGGAUGAGCCUGCACUUGAUUAGUUUGUUGGUGGGGUAAUGGCCUACCAAGACUGUGAUCAAUAGCUGAUUUGAGAGGAUGAUCAGCCACAUUGGGACUGAGACACGGCCCAAACUCCUACGGGAGGCAGCAGUGGGGAAUCUUGCACAAUGGAGGAAACUCUGAUGCAGCGAUGCCGCGUGAGUGAAGAAGGCCUUUGGGUUGUAAAGCUCUUUCGUCGGGGAAGAAAAUGACUGUACCCGAAUAAGAAGGUCCGGCUAACUUCGUGCCAGCAGCCGCGGUAAUACGAAGGGACCUAGCGUAGUUCGGAAUUACUGGGCUUAAAGAGUUCGUAGGUGGUUGAAAAAGUUAGUGGUGAAAUCCCAGAGCUUAACUCUGGAACUGCCAUUAAAACUUUUCAGCUAGAGUAUGAUAGAGGAAAGCAGAAUUUCUAGUGUAGAGGUGAAAUUCGUAGAUAUUAGAAAGAAUACCAAUUGCGAAGGCAGCUUUCUGGAUCAUUACUGACACUGAGGAACGAAAGCAUGGGUAGCGAAGAGGAUUAGAUACCCUCGUAGUCCAUGCCGUAAACGAUGUGUGUUAGACGUUGGAAAUUUAUUUUCAGUGUCGCAGCGAAAGCGAUAAACACACCGCCUGGGGAGUACGACCGCAAGGUUAAAACUCAAAUGAAUUGACGGGGACCCGCACAAGUAGUGGAGCAUGUGGUUUAAUUCGAAGAUACGCGCAGAACCUUACCAACACUUGACAUGUUCGUCGCGACUCUAAGAGAUUAGAGUUUUCGGUUCGGCCGGACGAAACACAGGUGCUGCAUGGCUGUCGUCAGCUCGUGUCGUGAGAUGUUGGGUUAAGUCCCGCAACGAGCGCAACCCUCACUUUUAGUUGCCAUCAUUAAGUUGGGCACUCUGAAAGAACUGCCAGUGAUAAGCUGGAGGAAGGUGGGGAUGACGUCAAGUCCUCAUGGCCCUUACGUGUUGGGCUACACACGUGCUACAAUGGUAUCUACAACAGGAAGCAAGACUGCGAAGUUAAGCAAAUCCCUAAAAGAUACCUCAGUUCGGAUUGCACUCUGCAACUCGAGUGCAUGAAGCUGGAAUUACUAGUAAUCGUGGAUCAGCGUGCCACGGUGAAUGCGUUCCCGGGUCUUGUACUCACCGC
Molecule: ribosomal RNA, 1313 nt
Filed under: uncultured Alphaproteobacteria bacterium
Lineage: Bacteria; Pseudomonadati; Pseudomonadota; Alphaproteobacteria
Description: uncultured alpha proteobacterium 16S ribosomal RNA
Rfam family: Bacterial small subunit ribosomal RNA
Source: RNAcentral